CAGUCGCCGCGGUAAUACGGAGGGUGCAAGCGUUAUCCGGAUUUAUUGGGUUUAAAGGGUCCGUAGGCGGAUCUGUAAGUCAGUGGUGAAAUCUCACAGCUUAACUGUGAAACUGCCAUUGAUACUGCAGGUCUUGAGUAAAUUUGAAGUGGCUGGAAUAAGUAGUGUAGCGGUGAAAUGCAUAGAUAUUACUUAGAACACCAAUUGCGAAGGCAGGUCACUAAGAUUUAACUGACGCUGAUGGACGAAAGCGUGGGGAGCGAACAGGAUUAGAUACCCCUGUAGUCCCUGUCUCUUAUAU
RNAcentral lists this ribosomal RNA (301 nucleotides) under uncultured bacterium. Its description in RNAcentral is "partial 16S ribosomal RNA". It matches the Rfam family "Bacterial small subunit ribosomal RNA", at positions 509 to 809 of the family's 1533-position model. The record is from RNAcentral.